Molecule: long non-coding RNA, 233 nt
Filed under: Gallus gallus (chicken)
Lineage: Eukaryota; Metazoa; Chordata; Aves; Galliformes; Phasianidae
Source: RNAcentral
CUGCCUCUUCCAUUCAUUCCCCAGCUGGGAGGGCUCAGUGCUGCAGUACCUCUUGCUGAGCUGCUCAGAGCACGCUGCUCCUCUUCAACAUACUUAUCGACUGUACCACUGUGUGUGUGACAAAGGACCUUUCUGAAGUGCCCAUGGCUCCAAUUCUGCUGCAGCUGUGGAACUCCCUCCUAUGUGUGUGGAAGCUGGCCCCAUGGCUUGCAUCCUCUCAUGGCAGCUCUCAU